AGCUACAUCCGUCACCUGACACGGCCCUACCAGGAACAGCCGCGCUCCCGCGGAUUCUGGUGCUGCUCGCGUCCCCGCUCCCCUAUUCCCCUUAUUUUAUUCCUGGCUCCCCUCGUCGAAAGUCUUCCAUUCUUCAAACUAGAUUAUUUAAAAAUGAAAAAGGAAGAAAGGAAAGCGAGGUCAUCUCAUUGCUCUAUCCGCCAAUCAGGAGGCUGAAUGUCAGUUUUGAACUAAAAGCCGCUCCGCUCCUCUUCUAGAUUUGGAAAACAAGCGAAAUUAAACUAAACCGCUGCACGCCUCUGACGCGACAUCUGGACACGGCGCGGCGCUGGCGCUGCCGGAGCUGUCGACCCGGCCUGGCGCCGGACUAGUGUCCCUUUUGAUGAGAAGAAUAAGCCUCAUUCUGAUUCAACAGCAGAGAUCAAAGAAAAGACUUCUGUUUUCUGGCCACCAGAUAUAUGUUAUCUGUGCUUAAAGAAUUGAAAAACACACAUCAAAGGAGAAUUUUCUUGGAAAGAGAGGGUUCAAGCAUCACUGUUAGGUGUGCUGGAAUCCUUUCCCGAGUCAGUACUGCUUUCUAGAAGAAAACCGGGGAGAUCUAUUUGGAAUGUAUCUAACUCCAAAGAAACCAUCAGAGGUAACAGUAGAGACGGGGUUUCACCAUGUUGGCCAGACUGGUCUUGAACUCUCGACCUCGUGAUUCGCCCGCCUCGGCCUCCCAAAGUGCUGGGAUUACAGGUGUGAGACACCACACCCGGCGGAUAGAGAGAAUUUUGACAGUAUCUUACAGACAGCAAGUUGAACAUUGUGGGAUGCAUGAGCUAUUGAGGCCUUUGCAGCUUUCUGCUACAUGGAGGCUAGGGCCAGAGUCAAGAUUUAUGCUUUGCAGCACACUGGUCAGCUGUUUUUGCAAAUCAGAUUAAAUGAUUUUUAAAUGAGGCUGAGAGCAUGGGAGAUACUAAUGUGUGUUUCCUUGUGAGCUACUGCAUAAGUUAGGAAAUUGAAAUACAGAAAGAUGAAAAGUGAUUUGCCCAAGCAUAUAGAUCAAAGCUGUGGCAGAACCAGGACUGGAACCUAUAUCUCUCUACUAAUGGUUUUUUUAAAAAAAUAACCUUGUUUCAAAAAUAUUAAAAAGUCACAAGAAAGGUAAACAUGUGGAUAAACAAAAUGAAGAAAAUAAAAAUUAUCCAGUAAUAACAUA
RNAcentral lists this long non-coding RNA (1201 nucleotides) under Homo sapiens (human). Its description in RNAcentral is "CDKN2B and CDKN2A antisense cis and trans regulatory RNA 1, transcript variant 7 (CDKN2B-AS1)". The stretch from base 379 to 522 matches the Rfam family "CDKN2B antisense RNA 1 convserved region 3". Lineage: Eukaryota; Metazoa; Chordata; Mammalia; Primates; Hominidae. The record is from RNAcentral.